AGUGAACGCUGGCGGCGGGCCUAAUACAUGCAAGUCGAGCGAACAGACGAUGAGCGUUCUCCUCUGACGUUAGCGGGUGACGGAUGGGUAAGACGUAGAUAGCCUACCUAUAAGACGUGGAGAACUUCGGGGAGCCGGAGCUGAUACCAGAGAAUAUGUUGUACGGCAGAGUGCAGUGGUGAAAGGCAGUUUGGCUGUCACUUAGAGAUGAAUCCGCGCCGGAUUAGCUAGUUGGUAAGGUAACGGCUUACCAAGGCAACGAUGCGUAGCCGACCUGAGAGGGUGAUCGGCCACACUGGAACUGAGACACGGUCCAGACUCCUACGGGAGGCAGCAGUAGGGAAUCUUCCGCAAUGGGCGAAAGCCUGACCCAGCCACGCCGCGUGAGUGAUGAAGGCCUUCGGAUCGUAAAACUCUGUUAUUAGGGAAGAAAAACUGCGUAAGAAAACCCGCACGUCCUGACGGUACCCAAUCAGAAAGCACCGGCUAACUACGUG
This 497-nucleotide ribosomal RNA is filed under the name uncultured bacterium. RNAcentral's name for it is "partial 16S ribosomal RNA". It matches the Rfam family "Bacterial small subunit ribosomal RNA", at positions 29 to 507 of the family's 1533-position model. The record is from RNAcentral.